Non-coding RNA from Anas platyrhynchos (mallard), 1067 nucleotides. The record is from RefSeq and is a predicted model, not a curated record. Lineage: Eukaryota; Metazoa; Chordata; Aves; Anseriformes; Anatidae.
UCAGUGCUGGCUCGUUUCCAUUCAAACACACACAGAACACUGAAAACUAAUUAGCCCUGGAUGCAGCCACAGGAAGUUAGCCUGCCAAGUCCCCUUUCCCCCACAAUUCCUCAACUUUCUCAGCUUGCCUCAGGCCAACGGCCUUGCACUGGGCCUCUCUGUGGAACCAAAGAGAACUUCACCAUCCUGUAAAACUUGAAAGUCCCUCCUCUCCAAGACUUUUCUUGAAGGUUAACAAAUUUUCCCGAGAGCCAGAGAACUACAGGUGUCAACCAUUUUCAAGCAUCUCAUUUCAAAGCAGAGCCCACCACAAUCCCAAUGUGAGAAGCCAGAAUCUGAUUAGAAGAAAGCAGUGGGCUGGAUGCCAAUCUACAGUGGGCAGAGCCAUGACACAUGCAACUUAACUAGAAAAUACCAGCGUGGCUGCAAAGUUCUGGAGGUCUAGAAACAUUCAGGUAUUUUCUUCUGGAUUCCUAUGCUCAAUUGUUGUCUGACAUUUAGCAAAAGUCACUUCAGCCCUUUUGACACCCCUUUCUAGGCUGGUGUUAACAGGCCAUAAAUUUUAUGUAGAGUACUUUGAGCUUUGUGGAUGAAAGGCACUAAAGUAAGUGACAACUGUUACCAAAUCUCAACAGGAAUGGGUGAAGAGGAAAAAGAAUUGGGUAACCAAACUCCACUUUUCAUUCUUCUGCGGCACAGAUAAGUGGGAACUGAUGGCUUUGUCAUAAUGUUGUCCCUCCAGGCCAGUGUCCAGAUCCCACCUGACUGUGAAAAGUCUUCAGAGGAAGACUUGAGGACCCUGUAGUACAAUGCAUGACAAAAGAGAAGAGUCUAAUUUGACCUUUUUCUGUCCUAUUUGGAUUUCCAGGAGUUAGAAAGUGUCUUAAUCCCUCAAGUACAAAAUGUUUGCUAUUGUUGCCUGUGACAAAUGUGGAUGUUCUUCAGAGCCACAUAAAUAUCUUGUCCUUUUCUGGUUUUGUUAGGUUUUGAGCUGUGACAGUUUCUUGGAGCAAUGAGUUCAACAGUGUAAUUGCAUGUUGUGUGAAUAAAAUCCUUUCUUCAUGGUG